RNAcentral lists this transfer RNA (70 nucleotides) under Schistosoma japonicum. Its description in RNAcentral is "tRNA-Leu". The record is from RNAcentral. Lineage: Eukaryota; Metazoa; Platyhelminthes; Trematoda; Strigeidida; Schistosomatidae.
UGUAAGAUGCCAGAUUUGAUGGGUAGUGUUUAGGAUUCUAUUAUGGGACUAAAAGAAGUUUCUCUUGCAA